GAUGAACGCUGGCGGCGUGCUUAACACAUGCAAGUCGAACGAUGAAGCCCAGCUUGCUGGGUGGAUUAGUGGCGAACGGGUGAGUAACACGUGAGUAACCUGCCCUUAACUCUGGGAUAAGCCUGGGAAACUGGGUCUAAUACCGGAUAGGAGCGUCCACCGCAUGGUGGGUGUUGGAAAGAUUUAUCGGUUUUGGAUGGACUCGCGGCCUAUCAGCUUGUUGGUGAGGUAAUGGCUCACCAAGGCGACGACGGGUAGCCGGCCUGAGAGGGUGACCGGCCACACUGGGACUGAGACAAGGCACAGCCUCCUACGGGAGGCAGCAGUGGGGAAUAUUGCACAAUGGGCGCAAGCCUGAUGCAGCGACGCCGCGUGAGGGAUGACGGCAUUCGGGUUGUAAACCUCUUUCAGUAGGGAAGAAGCGAAAGUGACGGUACCUGCAGAAGAAGCACCGGCUAACUACGUG
This 466-nucleotide ribosomal RNA is filed under the name uncultured bacterium. RNAcentral describes it as "partial 16S ribosomal RNA". It matches the Rfam family "Bacterial small subunit ribosomal RNA", at positions 28 to 507 of the family's 1533-position model. The record is from RNAcentral.